This is an RNA transcript of Lacerta agilis (Sand lizard), 4604 nucleotides long. It is a transcript of the gene named pre-mRNA processing factor 4B, with no coding region annotated. Lineage: Eukaryota; Metazoa; Chordata; Lepidosauria; Squamata; Lacertidae. The record is from RefSeq and is a predicted model, not a curated record. The transcript is spliced from 18 exons.
ACGCUGCCAGCACGCAUGCGCGACGUCUCAAUCGCUUCAGCUUUCGGCGGUGGAAGUCGAGGAGUUCGGAAGUUCAAAAUGGCCGCGGCGACGAUAGUGGAGUCGGGUCUGCGGGGGCGCGGAAUUGAUGAUGCUGAUAUUUCUGAGAGAAGUGCAAAUGAAGAAAAUGGGGAUAUUUCAGAAGGAGAGCAACCACAAAUUAAACACAGCCGGCAUAAAAAAAAGAAACACAAACACCGAGGUAAACAUAAGAAACAUAAACAUUCUUCAGAAGAAGAUAAGGACAAAAAACAUAAACAUAGGCACAAACAUAAGAAACAUAAACGAAAGGAGAUUACUGAUGCCUCUGAUAGAGAAGAUGGUCCAGCAAAAAGAACUAAAAUUGAUUUUUUAGCUCCUUUAGAAGACUUAGAGAAACAAAGAGCAUUGCUUAAAGCUGAACUUGAAAAUGAGCUAAUGGAAGGAAAAGUUCAGUCUGGGAUGGGAUUAAUAUUGCAAGGUUAUGAGUCAGGUUCUGAAGAGGAGGGAGAAAUCAAUGAUAAGGUGAGAAAUGGGACUAGAUCUGCAACUAAGUCAUCAAAUGUUAAAGGGAAACCGGAAAUUUUAGACAAUAAAACAAGUUCAAAGAAACGGAGUAAGAGCAGAUCAAAAGAACGGACUCGGCACAGAUCUGAUAAAAAGAAAAGCAAGUCAGGAGUUGAUGGAGUAAAAGAGAAAACAACAAGAAGUAAAUCAAAAGAGAGGAGAAAAUCAAAAAGCCCAUCUAAAAAAAUAAAGUCUCAAGACCAAGUAGGAAAGUCAAAGUCUCCAACUCUUAGAAGGCGCUCUCAGGAGAAAAAUAGGAAGUCAAAGUCUCCAGAAGAUAAGACUAAAGCAGAAGAUAAGAUUAAGUCUAGAGAUCAUAAAAAAUCUCCAGCUGUUAAUGAAAGUAAAAACAGAGAUCGUGGCAAAAAAUCAAAAUCUCCAGUAGAACAAAGAAGCAAAUCCAAAGACAGACGAUCAAGGUCUAAAGAUCGAAAAUCCAGAAGACUGGAGGCAGAAAAAGAGAAGAAGCCCACCAAAUCUCCUUCUAAAGAUGCAUCAUCAGGGAAAGAAAACAGGUCUCCUGGUAGAAGACCUGGCCGCAGCCCUAAAGGAAGAAGUUUGUCUCCGAAACCACGAGAUAAGCCAAGACGCAGCAGAUCACCUCUCCUUAAUGACCGCAGAUCUAAGCAGAGUAAAUCGCCCUCUCGAAAUCUGUCUCCUAGGAGAGCAAAGAGUAGAUCUGUAGAAAGAAAAAGAAGAGAAUCGGAAAGGAGGCGUUUUUCUUCUCCAAGAACACGAACAAGGGAUGAUAUCCUCUCUAGACGUGAGCGAUCAAAAGAUGUCAGCCCACCUAGGUGGUCCCCAUCCAGAAGAAGAUCCAGGUCUCCUAUUCGACGAAGAUCUCGCUCAGUUCUUCGACGUAGCCGGUCUCCAAGAAGGAGGAGUAGAUCUCCUCGGAGAAGGGAUAGGGGUCGACGGAGUCGAUCUCGUCUUAGGAGGAGGUCUAGGUCACGGGGUGGCCAUAGGCGGAGGAGUAGGAGCAAAAUAGAAGACAAAUUUAAAGGAAGCCUUUCUGAAGGGAUGAAGGUUGAACAAGAAUCCUCAUCAGAUGAAAACCUUGAAGACUUUGACGUUGAAGAAGAAGAUGAGGAAGCUUUGAUAGAGCAAAGAAGAUUACAGAGGCAAGCAAUUGUUCAGAAAUACAAGUACCUAACUGAAGAUAGCAAUAUGUCUAUGCCAUCUGAACCAAGCAGUCCUCAGAGCAGCACUCGAAGUCGCUCAAACUCACCUGAUGACAUUCUAGAGCGAGUAGCUGCUGAUGUUAAAGAGUAUGAACGGGAAAAUGUGGACACUUUUGAAGCCUCAGUGAAGGCUAAGCACAACCUCAUGGCUGUUGAGCAAAAUAAUGGUUCAUCUCAGAAGAAAAUUACAGCUCCUGACAUGUUCACAGAAUCAGAUGAUAUGUUUGCUGCAUAUUUUGAUAGUGCGCGCCUUAGGGCUGCUGGCAUUGGAAAAGACUUCAAAGAAAACCCCAAUCUCAGGGAUAACUGGACAGAUGCAGAGGGGUAUUACCGUGUUAACAUAGGUGAAGUCCUAGAUAAACGCUACAAUGUAUAUGGGUACACUGGCCAAGGAGUUUUCAGUAAUGUGGUGAGGGCCAGAGAUAUGGCAAGAGCAAACCAAGAAGUGGCUGUCAAAAUCAUUAGGAACAAUGAGCUUAUGCAAAAAACUGGUUUAAAAGAACUGGAAUUCUUGAAAAAACUCAAUGAUGCAGAUCCUGAUGACAAGUUCCAUUGCCUGCGAUUGUUCCGGCAUUUUUAUCACAAGCAGCACCUUUGUUUAGUAUUUGAACCACUCAGUAUGAAUUUACGAGAGGUGCUAAAGAAGUAUGGAAAAGAUGUUGGCCUCCAUAUAAAGGCAGUACGAUCAUAUAGUCAACAGCUGUUCCUAGCAUUAAAACUUCUUAAAAGGUGCAACAUCUUGCAUGCUGAUAUCAAACCAGACAAUAUUUUAGUGAAUGAAUCUAAAACUAUUCUAAAACUCUGCGAUUUUGGGUCGGCUUCACAUGUUGCGGAUAAUGACAUCACACCGUAUCUUGUCAGCCGAUUUUAUCGUGCUCCUGAAAUUAUUAUAGGCAAAAUCUAUGACUACGGUAUAGAUAUGUGGUCUGUAGGCUGUACAUUAUAUGAACUUUACACAGGAAAAAUAUUGUUUCCUGGGAAAACCAACAAUCAUAUGUUGAAACUUGCUAUGGACCUCAAAGGAAAGAUGCCAAACAAGAUGAUCCGAAAAGGAGUCUUCAAAGAUCAACACUUCGAUCAAAAUCUCAACUUUAUGUACAUAGAGGUAGAUAAAGUAACAGAAAGGGAAAAAGUAACUGUCAUGAGCACCAUUAAUCCAACAAAGGACCUGCUGGCUGAUUUAAUUGGGUGCCAACGCCUCCCUGAAGAUCAGCGCAAAAAGGUUCACCAGCUGAAGGACUUGUUGGACCAGAUCCUCAUGUUAGACCCAGCUAAACGGAUUAGUAUCAACCAGGCUCUGCAGCAUGCCUUCAUCCAGGAGAAAAUUUAAAUCCGGCGAAGAUGUUCAAAGGGUUUGACUAGUUAAUAUACAAAGACUGAUGCAAUUUCACAGCAAUUUAUAAAUGUACAUAUAGCAUAUAAAUAAUUGCCCUGCAAAGUUGAGGAAGAAUGAUAUAUUUGAAUUAACACCAAGGCGGAUAUUUCUUUUAGAAAUGUUAGAGUAAAUCUGUUUGUCUCUCACGUGAAGAUUUUUUCACUGUAGAACUGUUUUAUUGCCAAGACUGCACAGAAGUACAAUGCUAGCGUAUAUGGCUGCAGUUCCCAAACAUAUAUAUAUAUAAUGUAUAUAUAUAAACACACACACAUGCUCUCUCUCUCUCACCCUAACUAAAUGCAACAAAGCAUCUCUUAAAAUAUCAGUAAGACUGGGUGGUUGAUUUUGGUUUUUAGCAGAUUUGGCUUCAUUUUGGUCUCUGAAAAAUGGCCAGCAUAAAUGCUGUUUAUAUUGCAUUUUCCUAGGUGUGUGCGUGCAGGCCACAGCAGCAUGCCCUUGGUGUAGUCAGUGCCGAAGGGGGUCUAUUCCUUCUUGAGCCUGCCCGCAGGGAUGGUCUCCUCUUUUAAAGCAGGUUGCGUACAACUUUCAGUACACUGAAGGCAUAAACCUUCCACUCUUGAACAAAGCAGCUGCUUUUUAAAAGCGGUAAUUGCUUCUUUACCUUUUAUUUCUUUUGUAAAUGAAGCUUUCUUUAAGAAAUGUGACUUUAAAGUGUUGUCUCUUGCAUAAAACAGUUGACAUUCACUUAUUGUAAAGUGAAGAUUGUUCUGCUGCAUGUAAAGUGGACCAUGCAGAUUUCUGUAUGUUUUCAGUAUGCAUCAUUAGAUAAUAAAGUCUUUUGUGAACAAGGCAUUGGUAGCCAUUUUUAAAAGAUUUUUGUCUCCAGUGUUGCCGACUCAGGUAAUCGCAUCAGAGGAAUCUUUCGUUUUUGAUAGUCCAUUAAUUAAAGCAGUUAAUAAAAGAUGUGGCCCAUUGAAAGAGAGAUUAGAUUAUUAAUUAUCCACAUUUCAGUUUAGAUACUACCCCCUGCACCCUACAGAUACUAUCUACUUUCAUUGUAAAUUUAUUCCUGUAGGUUGUUGGAUUCGAAUCAGGUUUUAACUAAUGUUUGUGCUGUUUUUCUUACUUUUCCUUUUUGAUGGUGCUGAGAGAGACAAGGAAAGCAAGUCACAGGCCACUCAACGCCUACUCCAGGGGGUCUGGUUUGCUGAGACACCAACUUCACCUUCCUAACAAGGUGCCGCUCAAAUGAAGAUGAUGGAAACCAGAAGACAUGAACAAAGGGUAAGUGGCAGAAAAUUUCUGAGAAACAUUUGCAUGGAUUGAAGUUUGCUCAGGAGGCAGAUCAGACUAUGAAAAUACAGAAGGCUGAUAUCUUUGUGAGAUUGACGAACAGUAAUGAACUUGUGCAUCAAAAAGUGAAGCAGUGGUUUAAGAUAACUAUUUUUACCAUUCAUUUUUGACGUUUGAUGAAUAACGAGCUUAUUAAAGUUUUUUGUGUU